UGGGGAAUAUUGCACAAUGGGCGAAAGCCUGAUGCAGCGACGCCGCGUGAGGGAUGACGGCCUUCGGGUUGUAAACCUCUUUCAGUAGGGACGAAGCGCAAGUGACGGGACCUGCAGAAGAAGCACCGGCUAACUACGUGCCAGCAGCCGCGGUAAUACGUAGGGUGCGAGCGUUGUCCGGAAUUACUGGGCGUAAAGAGCUCGUAGGCGGUUUGUCACGUCGUCUGUGAAAUCCUAGGGCUUAACCCUGGACGUGCAGGCGAUACGGGCUGACUUGAGUACUACAGGGGAGACUGGAAUUUCUGGUGUAGCGGUGGAAUGCACAGAUAUCAGGAAGAACACCGAUGGCGAAGGCAGGUCUCUGGGUAGUAACUGACGCUGAGGAGCGAAAGCAUGGGUAGCGAACAGG
This 409-nucleotide ribosomal RNA is filed under the name bacterium. RNAcentral describes it as "partial 16S ribosomal RNA". It matches the Rfam family "Bacterial small subunit ribosomal RNA", at positions 355 to 776 of the family's 1533-position model. The record is from RNAcentral.